Molecule: long non-coding RNA, 284 nt
Organism: Zingiber officinale
Lineage: Eukaryota; Viridiplantae; Streptophyta; Magnoliopsida; Zingiberales; Zingiberaceae
Exons: 4
Source: RefSeq, a predicted model, not a curated record
AACUUAAAGGCUUUGAUCAUUAAGUCCAUGAUGCUUCCUUCCAACAUGUUGAUAACCAUGCUAAUUGAAGGUCUAUUUUCUGGCUUUAUCUGAACUGGCAAAUGGUCAAAACAAGUUUAAUAAUAAGGAGCACACAUAUAGCUUGAUAUCUGAAUUGCUUCCCUUGCUGAAACAUAUCUAUCAGAACCAAUUAAAUGAACUGGAAGUAAAGCAAGGGGAUCAAGAAGGUGGAUUUUCUGGUGUACUUCUUCGAGUAUAUGAGCCUCACAAUGAGCUUGUUAACU